AUUGAACGCUGGCGGAAUGCUUUACACAUGCAAGUCGAACGGCAGCACGGACUUCGGUCUGGUGGCGAGUGGCGAACGGGUGAGUAAUGUAUCGGAACGUGCCCAGUCGUGGGGGAUAACGUAGUGAAGAUUACGCUAAUACCGCAUACGAUCUAUGGAUGAAAGCGGGGGAUCGCAAGACCUCGCGCGACUGGAGCGGCCGAUAUCAGAUGAGGUAGUUGGUGGGGUAAAGGCCCACCAAGCCAACGAUCUGUAGCUGGUGUGAGAGGACGACCAGCCACACUGGAACUGAGACACGGUCCAGACUCCUACGGGAGGCAGCAGUGGGGAAUUUUGGACAAUGGGCGGAAGCCUGAUCCAGCCAUUCCGCGUGCAGGAUGAAGGCCCUCGGGUUGUAAACUGCUUUUGUACAGAACGAAAAGGUUUCUACUAAUACUAGGAGCUCAUGACGGUACUGUAAGAAUAAGCACCGGCUAACUACGUGCCAGCCGCCGCGGUAA
This 500-nucleotide ribosomal RNA is filed under the name uncultured bacterium. RNAcentral describes it as "partial 16S ribosomal RNA". It matches the Rfam family "Bacterial small subunit ribosomal RNA", at positions 30 to 523 of the family's 1533-position model. The record is from RNAcentral.